CAGCCGCGUAAUUCCAGCUCCAAUAGCGUAUAUUAAAGUUGUUGCAGUUAAAAAGCUCGUAGUUGAAUUUCGGGAUCAAAUUGUUGGUCGUGCUUCGGUACGCACUGGCAUUAUUGGUUCCUACCUUCUGAAGAACCGCGAUGUCAUUAAUUUGGUGUCGUGGGGAAUCAGGACUGUUACUUUGAAAAAAUUAGAGUGUUUAAAGCAGGCUUACGCUUGAAUACAUUAGCAUGGAAUAAUGAAAUAGGACGUUUGAUUCUAUUUUGUUGGUUUCUAGGAUCGACGUAAUGAUUAAUAGGGAUAGUUGGGGGCAUUAGUAUUCAAUUGUCAGAGGUGAAAUUCUUGGAUUUAUUGAAGACUAACUACUGCGAAAGCAUUUGCCAAGGAUGUUUUCAUUAAUCAAGAACGAAAGUUAGGGGAUCGAAGACGAUCAGAUACCGUCGUAGUCUUAACCAUAAACUAUGCCGACUAGGGAUCGGAUGAUGUUAAUUUUUUAAUGACUCAUUCGGCGCCUUACG
RNAcentral lists this unclassified non-coding RNA (518 nucleotides) under uncultured Glomeromycotina. RNAcentral describes it as "SSU rRNA". It matches the Rfam family "Eukaryotic small subunit ribosomal RNA", at positions 571 to 1092 of the family's 1831-position model. The record is from RNAcentral. Lineage: Eukaryota; Fungi; Glomeromycota.